RNAcentral lists this ribosomal RNA (383 nucleotides) under uncultured eukaryote. RNAcentral's name for it is "partial 18S ribosomal RNA". It matches the Rfam family "Eukaryotic small subunit ribosomal RNA", at positions 592 to 976 of the family's 1831-position model. The record is from RNAcentral.
CAAUAGCGUAUAUUAAAGUUGUUGCAGUUAAAAAGCUCGUAGUUGGAUUUCUGGUGGGAGCGAUCGGUCUGGCGCUUAGCGCGAGUACUUGCAUCGUCUCCGGCCAUCCUUGGGGAGAGUCUGUCUGGCAUUAGGUUGUCGGGCAGAGGAUCCUCAUCGUUUACUGUGAAAAAAUUAGAGGGUUCAAAGCAGGCUUAUGCCGUUGAAUAUAUUAGCAUGGAAUAAUAAGAUAGGACUUUGGUACUAUUUUGUUGGUUUGCGCACCAAAGUAAUGAUUAAUAGGGACAGUUGGGGGUAUUCGUAUUCCGUUGUCAGAGGUGAAAUUCUUGGAUUUACGGAAGACGAACUACUGCGAAAGCAUUUACCAAGGAUGUUUUCAUUAA